RNAcentral lists this ribosomal RNA (104 nucleotides) under uncultured bacterium. Its description in RNAcentral is "partial 16S ribosomal RNA". It matches the Rfam family "Bacterial small subunit ribosomal RNA", at positions 1379 to 1482 of the family's 1533-position model. The record is from RNAcentral.
CCUUGUUCACACCGCCCGUCACACCAUGAAAGUCGGCUGCACUAGAAGUCGCCGGGCUAACCUUCGGGAAGCAGGCGCCAAAGGUGUGGUCGGUAAUUGGGGUG